UCUCCUGUGGCACAAUGGAUCAUUGUGUCUGGCUGUUAACCAGAAGGUUGGUGUUCGAACCCACCCAGGGAAA
This is a non-coding RNA of Podarcis lilfordi (Lilford's wall lizard), 73 nucleotides long. NCBI's taxonomy places the organism in Eukaryota, Metazoa, Chordata, Lepidosauria, Squamata, Lacertidae. The record is from the annotation of a GenBank genome assembly.